Molecule: ribosomal RNA, 456 nt
Filed under: uncultured bacterium
Lineage: Bacteria
Description: bacterial SSU rRNA
Rfam family: Bacterial small subunit ribosomal RNA
Source: RNAcentral
GAUCAUGGCUCAGAACGAACGCUGGCGGCAGGCUUAACACAUGCAAGUCGAACGCGAAAUCACCUUCGGGUGGUGGAGAGUGGCAGACGGGUGAGUAACGCGUGGGAAUCUACCUGAUGGUACGGAAUAACUCAGGGAAACUUGAGCUAAUACCGGAUGUGCCCGAGAGGGGAAAGAUUUAUCGCCAUCAGAUGAGCCCGCGUCGGAUUAGCUAGUUGGUGGGGUAAAAGCCCACCAAGGCGACGAUCCGUAGCUGGUCUGAGAGGAUGAUCAGCCACACUGGGACUGAGACACGGCCCAGACUCCUACGGGAGGCAGCAGUGGGGAAUAUUGGACAAUGGGCGCAAGCCUGAUCCAGCCAUGCCGCGUGAGUGAUGAAGGCCCUAGGGUUGUAAAGCUCUUUCGACGGGGACGAUAAUGACGGUACCCGUAGAAGAAGCCCCGGCUAACUUCGUG